RNAcentral lists this ribosomal RNA (255 nucleotides) under uncultured bacterium. RNAcentral describes it as "partial 16S ribosomal RNA". It matches the Rfam family "Bacterial small subunit ribosomal RNA", at positions 524 to 776 of the family's 1533-position model. The record is from RNAcentral.
UACGUAGGGUGCAAGCGUUGUCCGGAAUUAUUGGGCGUAAAGAGCUCGUAGGUGGCCCGUCGCGUCGGCUGUGAAAACUCGGGGCUCAACUCCGAGCUUGCAGUCGAUACGGGCAGGCUAGAGUUCGGCAGGGGAGACUGGAAUUCCUGGUGUAGCGGUGAAAUGCGCAGAUAUCAGGAGGAACACCGGUGGCGAAGGCGGGUCUCUGGGCCGAUACUGACGCUGAGGAGCGAAAAGCGUGGGGGAGCGAACAGG